AGCACCGGGCUAANUCCCGUGNCAGCNGNCGCGGUAAUACGGAGGGUGCNAGCGUUUANUNGNAAUUACUGGGNGUAAAGCGCACGCNGGCGGUUUGUUANGUCAGAUNNGAAAUCCCNNGGCUCANNNGGGAACUGCAUUNGAAACNGGCAAGNNNGAGUNUNNUAGAGGGGGGUAGAAUUCCAGGUGUAGCGGUGAAAUGCGUAGAGAUNNGGAGGAAUACCGGUGGNGAAGGCGGCCCCCUGGACAAAGACUGACGNUCAGGUGCGAAAGCGUGGGGAGCAAACAGGAUUAGAUACCNUGGUAGUCCACGCNGUAAACGAUGUCGACUUGGAGGUUGUUCCCUUGAGGAGUGGCUUCCGGAGCUAACGCGUUAAGUCGACCGCCUGGGGAGUACGGCCGCAAGGUUAAAACUCAAAUGAAUUGACGGGGGCCCGCACAAGCGGUGGAGCAUGUGGUUUAAUUCGAUGCAACGCGAAGAACCUUACCUACUCUUGACAUCCAGAGAACUUAGCAGAGAUGCUUUGGUGCCUUCGGGAACUCUGAGACAGGUGCUGCAUGGCUGUCGUCAGCUCGUGUUGUGAAAUGUUGGGUUAAGUCCCGCAACGAGCGCAACCCUUAUCCUUUGUUGCCAGCGRUYCGGYCGGGAACUCAAAGGAGACUGCCAGUGAUAAACUGGAGGAAGGUGGGGAUGACGUCAAGUCAUCAUGGCCCUUACGAGUAGGGCUACACACGUGCUACAAUGGCAUAUACAAAGAGAAGCGACCUCGCGAGAGCAAGCGGACCUCAUAAAGUAUGUCGUAGUCCGGAUUGGAGUCUGCAACUCGACUCCAUGAAGUCGGAAUCGCUAGUAAUCGUAGAUCAGAAUGCUACGGUGAAUACGUUCCCGGGCCUUGUACACACCGCCCGUCACACCAUGGGAGUGGGUUGCAAAAGAAGUAGGUAGCUUAAC
RNAcentral lists this ribosomal RNA (952 nucleotides) under Klebsiella planticola. Its description in RNAcentral is "Raoultella planticola partial 16S ribosomal RNA". The record is from RNAcentral. Lineage: Bacteria; Pseudomonadati; Pseudomonadota; Gammaproteobacteria; Enterobacterales; Enterobacteriaceae.